Molecule: ribosomal RNA, 301 nt
Filed under: uncultured bacterium
Lineage: Bacteria
Description: partial 16S ribosomal RNA
Rfam family: Bacterial small subunit ribosomal RNA
Source: RNAcentral
CAGCAGCCGCGGUAAUACAGAGGGUGCGAGCGUUAAUCGGAUUUACUGGGCGUAAAGCGUGCGUAGGCGGCUUCUUAAGUCGGAUGUGAAAUCCCUGAGCUUAACUUAGGAAUUGCAUUCGAUACUGGGAAGCUAGAGUAUGGGAGAGGAUGGUAGAAUUCCAGGUGUAGCGGUGAAAUGCGUAGAGAUCUGGAGGAAUACCGAUAGCGAAGGCAGCCAUCUGGCCUAAUACUGACGCUGAGGUACGAAAGCAUGGGGAGCAAACAGGAUUAGAUACCCGCGUAGUCCCUGUCUCUUAUAC